GUGAAUCAUCAAAUCUUUGAACGCAAAUUGCACUCUCUGGUAUUCCGGAGAGUAUGCCUGUUUGAUGGUCAGUUUAAAUAAAAAUCUGUGUGUUUGCUGCCUUUCGUGGUGACGCACCGGAUUUGGUUCGUCUUGCCUUCGGUUAAGUGACCUAAAAUUUUGCAUUUUGUUUUUCGAACGUAUGUAAAUGAUUUUACUUACGUUUGCGAUAUCCUAUUUUAUUUUU
RNAcentral lists this unclassified non-coding RNA (226 nucleotides) under Glomeraceae sp. RNAcentral describes it as "partial contains 5.8S ribosomal RNA and internal transcribed spacer 2". The stretch from base 1 to 71 matches the Rfam family "5.8S ribosomal RNA", at positions 84 to 154 of the family's 154-position model. Lineage: Eukaryota; Fungi; Glomeromycota; Glomeromycetes; Glomerales; Glomeraceae. The record is from RNAcentral.